GUCUUGGUAGUAGAAUGUAAAAGAACAAAGUACAUGCCGAACGGUUUUUACAGUUUGAGAGCUAGAUAAGCGGGGUGACACGUUACGGUCUGAGAAUUCAUGUUGUACUUACGGUCCCGACCAUCUACUAAAUGCGAACUCCUCAGGUUCCAAGUACUUCAACUAUUAGACCAAAACACUUCCUUCCCCGGUCGGUACCUCUUCUAGGACGACCAGCAGGGACCGUUAGGUCCAUAACAACCUAAGAUGUUCCUGAAACACCUUCGGGAGACACUCGAUCAAGUACCUCUGAGCUGUCAGGCUCGCUAGAGACAUCGCACUUACCUCACUAUCAGGUCUAUUGACCACUCAGUUUGUACAAGGUACUACAACAAAACUCGAACUUUCGUGUAUUAUGUAAAUGACUGUUUUAUUUGAUUACGUAGGAGAUCGAGACAAAUACGUAAAGUCGACUUCUGCACCGUCUACUAUACCUGAUGUGUCAGGUGUGAUAUACGACGAUGAUUUAAUUCUACGUGUUUCAAGUGUGAUAUACGAAAAGUACAGGGGACCGUCACCGGAGAUAUACAGUGUUUCAAGUGUCAUCCCCUACACAUCCCUAAGUACACCAACUACUCAACAUCGCACAAAACGGAUCCCUAAGUACACCAACUAGCCAACAUCGCACAUGACGAUAACCCAAGGUACGGAUAGGAGCCUAUCUAAUUGAGAGCUGAGUACAUCACAACGCAACUAAGUACUAGAUCUCCGACAAUGACUACACCGCAACCCUCUAAAUCGUCGGACUAAACUACUCUGACCAUAUAGAAUAACAUCUAACAUUUAGUCAAAGCAUACAACAGGUAUACACAAGGCUUCAUAAAAGGCUCCUCUUAAACAAAACUCUAUAGGUAUAGUACAACACGAGCGACAAAUCAAAACAAACAGGGUUUUCCGGAUACAAUAAAUCAAAAAAACAACUUAAUUAGUAUUUACCAUCUAAAAAACAAUAAGCUUCGACAACUUGUUACAUCAAUCCAAACAAAAUAACGACGUAAUCUUAAUGUCGUUAGCAGGAUCAGAACAAAACAACAUCUGUACCGUAACAAUCUUGAAGCCUACAUCUAAAAGUAGUUGACAAAAACACCAAAAGGUAAUCUUUUACAUAUACGUAACAAAUAAGAUAAAAUUUGAAGUAGUACCAUACCAAACAAAGAUAAGAUGACCGAACUAAAACAAUUGUGAUCGUACGAGACAAACAAAACCUCGGGUUGGUACCUGACAUGCAUGAUUCGAUCGAGUUCGCGUGUGUGUGUCGGUUGAACUAACUACAGACAUCUAUGAUCGUCAUCGUGCACACACACAGAGGAUAUGAGCGAACGAAUUAAAGACAUGAUCUAGUUGUUGUGAUUGAGAAUGAAGAAACAAACUAAGCCUCGUCAUCCUUAGGAGACACCUGUUACUGCUGUUGGUCCCGUAGGUGGCGGUGCUGCUGCGAGCCGUGUACCAGGUUGAGUCGAUGUUGGAGGAGAUGGCGCCCUGCUUCUGGCACCGGCACACGCCGUAGCUGAUGUUAGAGGAGAGUAGAUUCACUCCUUCUUGGUCGACGGCUGCCCGCUCCCGUACCCCACGGACCUCCGGUUCGUGGUGGAAGACGACUCGAUGACGGUCCCGGAGCAGAUAACAGUCCUGGCCUAAAAGCCCUAUAAUUAAAGGUCUUUUACCGGGAACACGAGUGGUCGGGGUCCUAAUGACAAUCGACUACUCCGUGGUUGAACUAUGUCUUUAAGGUUCGUUUUAUGUUUUAUACAUCAUGUUCUGGUAAGACCGGAUACUCAUGUUGUUCACCAAAGAUCAUCAACUACCGCCUUCGCCAAACAACUAGUAGUCACAGAUACCCUGAGGUAAAGGG
RNAcentral lists this ribosomal RNA (1891 nucleotides) under Triticum aestivum (bread wheat). RNAcentral describes it as "partial small subunit ribosomal RNA". Lineage: Eukaryota; Viridiplantae; Streptophyta; Magnoliopsida; Poales; Poaceae. The record is from RNAcentral.